RNAcentral lists this ribosomal RNA (166 nucleotides) under Jatropha curcas. RNAcentral's name for it is "5.8S ribosomal RNA". It matches the Rfam family "5.8S ribosomal RNA". Rfam says of the family: 5.8S ribosomal RNA (5.8S rRNA) is a component of the large subunit of the eukaryotic ribosome. It is transcribed by RNA polymerase I as part of the 45S precursor that also contains 18S and 28S rRNA. Functionally, it is thought that 5.8S rRNA may be involved in ribosome translocation. The record is from RNAcentral. Lineage: Eukaryota; Viridiplantae; Streptophyta; Magnoliopsida; Malpighiales; Euphorbiaceae.
AAAACAACUCUCAGCAACAGAUAUCUCGGCUCUCGCAUCGAUGAAGAACGCAACGAAAUGCAAUACUUGGUGGGAAUUGCAGAAUCUCACGAACCAUCUAGUCUUUGAACACAAGUUGCGCCCGGAAUCCUUUUGGCCGAGGGCACAUCUACCUGGGUAUCACACA